GCGGUAUUAAAGUAUAAAAUGUGCUCCAGAACCGUUCUUACUCAGUAGUGUACAAACAGUAUCGGCAACAUGUUGUGUGGUUUUAUCUUCGCUUCUCUGCUUAUCUCGGCCAUGGGCUCUCCCGGAGUUCAAGCUAAAGAAAACGAAGAACUACCAUCAUCUCCUAAUAGCAACCUUGGCGUAAUACUUGGAGCAUUAACAGUACAAAGAAACAAUAGAUUAAUCACUGGUCCCAACGAUAAAAACGUGUAUGGAUCCAUAGUUACAAUGGAUAACACAUUUGAUGCUGCUAAUCCUUCAAAGAGACGAAGCCUUACUGCUAUUGCACCGGGCGGUCCUCGACAAGAUGGUCUUGCCUUUACAUGGUUUGGAGACGAUCUUCAUAAUAUCCCACAGACAGGAAACAACGGAGUUUUCAUUGGUGCGGUCACAGUCCAAGAUGGCAAUACGUAUACCGGUGACUUUGGUGGGACAAACCAGUUCGGAUCGGUUGUUGAACAAUCAGGCAAUGUUUUCUAUGGGACUCCCUCAAAUGGUAAUGUUCACUUUGGAGCCGUCACUGUUCAAAGGAAUAACCAUU
Helicoverpa armigera (cotton bollworm) is the source of this 580-nucleotide long non-coding RNA. RefSeq lists it as uncharacterized. Lineage: Eukaryota; Metazoa; Arthropoda; Insecta; Lepidoptera; Noctuidae. The transcript is spliced from 2 exons. The record is from RefSeq and is a predicted model, not a curated record.